UUGGAGGGCAAGUCUGGUGCCAGCAGCCGCGGUAAUUCCAGCUCCAAUAGCGUAUAUUUAAGUUGUUGCAGUUAAAAAGCUCGUAGUUGAAUUUCGGGAUUAGUACGUCGGUCGUGCCUUAGGUACGUACUGGUGUUACUGGUUCCUACCUUCUGACGAACCAUCAUGUCAUUAAUUUGGUGUGGUGGGGAAUCAGGACUGUUACUUUGAAAAAAUUAGAGUGUUUAAAGCAGGCUCGCGCUUGAAUACAUUAGCAUGGAAUAAUGAAAUAGGACGUUGAUCCUAUUUUGUUGGUUUCUAGGAUUGACGUAAUGAUUAAUAGGGAUAGUUGGGGGCAUUAGUAUUCAAUUGUCAGAGGUGAAAUUCUUGGAUUUAUUGAAGACUAACUACUGCGAAAGCAUUUGCCAAGGAUGUUUUCAUUAAUCAAGAACGAAAGUUAGGGGAUCGAAGACGAUCAGAUACCGUCGUAGUCUUAACCAUAAACUAUGCCGACUAGGGAUCGGAUGAUGUUAAUUUUUUAAUGACUCAUUCGGCACCUUACGGGAAAC
RNAcentral lists this ribosomal RNA (548 nucleotides) under uncultured Glomus. RNAcentral describes it as "SSU rRNA". It matches the Rfam family "Eukaryotic small subunit ribosomal RNA", at positions 548 to 1098 of the family's 1831-position model. Lineage: Eukaryota; Fungi; Glomeromycota; Glomeromycetes; Glomerales; Glomeraceae. The record is from RNAcentral.